RNAcentral lists this ribosomal RNA (460 nucleotides) under uncultured bacterium. RNAcentral describes it as "partial 16S ribosomal RNA". It matches the Rfam family "Bacterial small subunit ribosomal RNA", at positions 338 to 795 of the family's 1533-position model. The record is from RNAcentral.
CCUACGGGUGGCAGCAGUGAGGAAUAUUGGUCAAUGGACGAGAGUCUGAACCAGCCAAGUAGCGUGAAGGAUGACUGCACUAUGGGUUGUAAACCUCUUUUAUAAAGGAAUAAAACGAGGCACGUGUGCCUUUAUGCAUGUACUUUAUGAAUAAGGAUCGGCUAACUCCGUGCCAGCAGCCGCGGUAAUACGGAGGAUCCGAGCGUUAUCCGGAUUUAUUGGGUUUAAAGGGGGCGUAGAUGGGUUGUUAAGUCAGUUGUGAAAGUUUGCGGCUCAACCGUAAAAUUGCAGUUGAUACUGGCAGUCUUGAGUACAUGUGAGGUAGGCGGAAUUCGGGGUGUAGCGGUGAAAUGCAUAGAUAUCACGAAGAACCCCGAUUGCGAAGGCAGCUUACUAAACUGUGACUGACAUUGAUGCACGAAAGUGUGGGUAUCAAACAGGAUUAGAUACCCUAGUAGUC